This 250-nucleotide ribosomal RNA is filed under the name uncultured prokaryote. Its description in RNAcentral is "partial 16S ribosomal RNA". It matches the Rfam family "Bacterial small subunit ribosomal RNA", at positions 524 to 774 of the family's 1533-position model. The record is from RNAcentral.
UACGUAGGGGGCGAGCGUUGUCCGGAUUUACUGGGCGUAAAGGGUGAGUAGGCGGUUAUUUAAGUCAGAUGUAAAAGGCGCAGGCUUAACUUACGUAAGCAUCUGAUACUGGGUAACUUGAGUGCAGGAGAGGUAAGUGGAAUUCCUAGUGUAGCGGUGAAAUGCGUAGAUAUUAGGAGGAACACCAGUGGCGAAGGCGACUUACUGGACUGUAACUGACGCUGAGUCACGUAAGCGUGGGUAGCAAACA